GGAGAAACCAUGGCUCAAUGGUAGAACAUCUUCUUGGCACGAGGAAGGUCCCAGGUUCAAUCCGUGGCAUCUCCA
This 75-nucleotide transfer RNA is filed under the name Sphaerodactylus townsendi. Its description in RNAcentral is "tRNA-Ala". Lineage: Eukaryota; Metazoa; Chordata; Lepidosauria; Squamata; Sphaerodactylidae. The record is from RNAcentral.